UUUUGAUUAUAAUUUAAAGUCUAACCUGCCCUAUGAUUUAUUAUUAAAUGGCUGCGAUAUUUUGAUCGUGCAAAGGUAGCAUAAUAAUUAGUUUUUUAAUUGGGAACUGGUAUGAAUGGUUGAACGAGAAAAAAACUGUCUCAAUUUAAUUUAAAUUAGAAUUUUAUUUUUAAGUUAAAAAGCUUAAAUAUUUUUAAAAGACGAGAAGACCCUAUAGAGUUUUAUAUAAUUUAUUAUUUUAAAAAAUUUUAGAAUUUUGAGAUUUAAUUAUAAUAAUUUGUAUUUAAUUGGGGUGAUUAAAAAAUUUAAAUAACUUUUUUUAAAUUUAAACAUAGAUUUAUGAAUAGAUGAUCC
RNAcentral lists this ribosomal RNA (354 nucleotides) under Macroderes namakwanus. RNAcentral's name for it is "partial large subunit ribosomal RNA". The record is from RNAcentral. Lineage: Eukaryota; Metazoa; Arthropoda; Insecta; Coleoptera; Scarabaeidae.